GACGAACGCUGGCGGCGUGCCUAAUACAUGCAAGUUGAGCGCUGAAGGUUGGUACUUGUACCAACUGGAUGAGCAGCGAACGGGUGAGUAACGCGUGGGGAAUCUGCCUUUGAGCGGGGGACAACAUUUGGAAACGAAUGCUGAUACCGCAUAAAAACUUUAAACACAAGUUUUAAGUUUGAAAGAUGCAAUUGCAUCACUCAAAGAUGAUCCCGCGUUGUAUUAGCUAGUUGGUGAGGUAAAGGCUCACCAAGGCGAUGAUACAUAGCCGACCUGAGAGGGUGAUCGGCCACAUUGGGACUGAGACACGGCCCAAACUCCUACGGGAGGCAGCAGUAGGGAAUCUUCGGCAAUGGACGAAAGUCUGACCGAGCAACGCCGCGUGAGUGAAGAAGGUUUUCGGAUCGUAAAACUCUGUUGGUAGAGAAGAACGCUGGUGAGAGUGGAAAGCUCAUCAAGUGACGGUAACUACCCAGAAAGGGACGGCUAACUACGUG
Molecule: ribosomal RNA, 497 nt
Filed under: uncultured bacterium
Lineage: Bacteria
Description: partial 16S ribosomal RNA
Rfam family: Bacterial small subunit ribosomal RNA
Source: RNAcentral